Homo sapiens (human) is the source of this 1413-nucleotide long non-coding RNA. RefSeq lists it as uncharacterized. The record is from RefSeq and is a predicted model, not a curated record. The transcript has 2 exons. NCBI's taxonomy places the organism in Eukaryota, Metazoa, Chordata, Mammalia, Primates, Hominidae.
GUGAACAUCGAGGCGAGAUUCGAGCAAUGUGUCCACAACCGAGGAACACCAAGGACUGCCAGCGACCCCCCGAGCUGGAGAGAGGCUUGGAACAGAGCCUGCCUCACAGCCUCAGAAGGAAACGACCCCUGCCCACACCUUGAUCUUGGACUUCUAGCCUCCAGAACUGUGCGUCCCAGAAGCAGAAUUGUUGGAUUGUGUGGUCACUCCAUGUUCGACUUUUGAGGAACCUGAGCAGAACUUGGACCGCUGCCCGCCCACUGGGUUUACUGGUGGUUUCUCUGUUCCCCUCCCCCAUCCUGGUUCUGGUGUACUCCGAAUGUCCCUUGCACUCCCUUCCACGGCCACACACUAAAUUCAGGGAACAUCUCAAUGGCCGCAUCUGGUCACAAGACAUGCACCCAUUGGCCCCAGCUCAGACUGUCUCUCUGGGAUCUCAGGCUUGUGCAGUGUGAACACAUGGCCAAGAGAGGGCAGGCAGAGGCACCAGACCCCCACUUGGUGCUGGUGAGCUGGUCCUCGCUGGAUCAGCUGCCCAGCCUGCUGGGCCCAGGCAUCCUUGUCCCCUUUAACAGAUGAGGACUGAGGGAGACACAGCUGAGUAAAAACCACUGACCUGCCAUCUACACAUUGAGGUCAUUGGAAUGAUGGCCACAUGUCAAGGUUUUUUAGGCCCUUCUGUGUCUCAACAGCUUCUGGAGGUGCUGGCUGAACUAAGGCCAAGCUUAGAAAAGACAGCCCCAAUCUCUGAUUCCGAUAACCCACCAACCUUUCCUAGUCCCGACCUGCAGGCUCCAGUCCCUGGGUCCUGCUGUGUUCUGAGGUUCCAACUGCCUUGUGCAGGGGCCUGGAACCCUGAGCCUUUCCCAGAUUCCUCUCCAAGCCGAGGACCAGAUCACCAGAGCCUUGAGUCACCUGGACCUCCCGAGCGUUUUCUGUGGAAGGAAUCUUUGGCUCCAGCAAGAAGCAGAACAGUUGAUUAAAACGUUUAUUUUCCUGCGAGGAAAGAGAAAGGAGAGUCUUCGGUUUCUCCUACCUGAUACCCUGACUAUGGCUCCUGUCCCCACUGUGCCUGCUCAGGAUGUGUCUCUGCUGUGUUGUUACCACAGCCCCCUGCCCAUCUGCAGCAAGUAAGGUUAUUCCCUUGCAUUUGUGCAAGGCAACCAAGGAAACUAAAACUUUAAGGAGGAAAGAAAUGAGAGAUGAUAACAGAUUAGCAAUUUGCAAAUUAUCCUAAGGAAAAAUGUCCUAUUAAGAAAAAAAUGAUGAGCACAUGCUAUUGAAGGGGGGUGGGGGACCAUGGCUGGGGAGAAGAAUGGACUCUAGCUCGCUGAAAUUAUAGUAUUGUCCCGUCUCCAACUACUAAGGCUCUGUUCCCUGACAAUACACUAAAUAUAUCGUUUAUUAAGCCCA